AACGCGAAGAACCUUACCAAGGCUUGACAUCUACAGAAUCUGUUAGAAAUAGCGGAGUGCCCGAAAGGGAACUGUAAGACAGGUGGUGCAUGGCUGUCGUCAGCUCGUGUCGUGAGAUGUUGGGUUAAGUCCCGCAACGAGCGCAACCCUCGAUGCUAGUUACCAUCAUUAAGUUGGGGACUCUAGCGUGACUGCCGGUGAUAAGCCGGAGGAAGGUGAGGACGACGUCAAGUCAUCAUGCCCCUUACGUCUUGGGCUACACACGUCCUACAAUGGCAUAGACAAAGGGCUGCAAGCUAGCGAUAGUGAGCGAAUCCCAUAAACUAUGUCUCAGUUCGGAUUGCAGGCUGCAACUCGCCUGCAUGAAGUUGGAAUCGCUAGUAACCGUAGAUCAGCACGCUACGGUGAAUACGUUCCCGGGCCUUGUACACACCGUGUCGA
Molecule: ribosomal RNA, 441 nt
Filed under: uncultured bacterium
Lineage: Bacteria
Description: bacterial SSU rRNA
Rfam family: Bacterial small subunit ribosomal RNA
Source: RNAcentral